AGCCGCGCCGCGUGAGUGAUGAAGGCCUUCGGGUUGUAAAGCUCUGUGGGGAGGGACGAAAAACCGGGGUUCGAAUAGGGCCACGGCUUGACGGUACCUCCUUAGCAAGCACCGGCUAACUCUGUGCCAGCAGCCGCGGUAAGACAGAGGGUGCGAACGUUGCUCGGAAUUACUGGGCGUAAAGCGCGUGUAGGCGGACCAUUAAGUCAGGUGUGAAAUCCCUGGGCUCAACCCAGGAACUGCACUUGAAACUGGCGGUCUUGAGUGAUGGAGAGGGAUACGGAAUUCCCGGUGUAGAGGUGAAAUUCGUAGAUAUCGGGAGGAACACCAGUGGCGAAGGCGGCAUCCUGGACAUUUACUGACGCUGAGACGCGAAAGCGUGGGGAGCAAACAGGAUUAGAUACCCUGGUAGUCCACGCCGUAAACGAUGAGUGCUAGGUGUCGCGGGUAUUGACCCCUGCGGUGCCGUAGCUAACGCGUUAAGCACUCCGCCUGGGGAGUACGGCCGCAAGGCUA
RNAcentral lists this ribosomal RNA (516 nucleotides) under uncultured Pseudomonadota bacterium. Its description in RNAcentral is "bacterial SSU rRNA". It matches the Rfam family "Bacterial small subunit ribosomal RNA", at positions 390 to 896 of the family's 1533-position model. Lineage: Bacteria; Pseudomonadati; Pseudomonadota. The record is from RNAcentral.